Long non-coding RNA from Apteryx haastii (Great spotted kiwi), 2359 nucleotides. The record is from Ensembl. Lineage: Eukaryota; Metazoa; Chordata; Aves; Apterygiformes; Apterygidae.
AUGGUUUUAAAGGUGAACAGAGCUUUACUUUUGGGAUCUCAUGAAAUGUGUGGGUUCAAGAUCCUAUUAGCAAGAUCACAGCAAUCACUGCAGCUCAUGCUAUCUGAGAGGAGUCUAAUAUACUGUCACAGUGCUACAGUUUGCCAACAGAUCUGUGUGAAACUAGAGGGAUGUUUGACUGCCAAGCUACUUUCCUCUUCCUGCACCAAAACAGAAGUACAAGGUGCCUAUACAUGGCAGAUAGAUAGUAUUCAAAGAUUCAUUAGGAAAACCUGUCUCCGAUCAGAAGUCUUGGGGAGUCUUCCGAAGUAGCCAUCCCCUCUGAGAGAAUUCCUUCAUUAUGUUGUUGUUCGUUUCUUCCCUUAUGUUUUUGCUAAUGCUAACACAUGCUCAAGAGAAAAGUGCUUUCUGUGAAUCAGAUUCACCAGUGUGGUUUUUUGCUGCUCUGGUCUGUCAAAGAUUUGCAAGCAAGAGGUUUUACUUAAAAAUUGUGAUUGUGCAUCUUUUCCCUAAUGGUUUAAUUUUGUCAUCAUCUUUAAUCACAUAAACAUUCUUUAUCUGUUCAUCUCAUCUCCAUUCUGAUCUGAACCCAUUUAACCAAAAGGAACUUGAAAAGUUUUAAUUGUUUCGGUGUCUGCCUGAGGCUUAAAUUAUGUAUUUUAAGUUUUAAAACUUUGAAGUAGUUAUUUUCUUUUCAUCUACAGGUUAAAAGGAUCCAGCAGGGAUUGUCUUCCUAUUGCUUUAGGAUUUCAAAAGCUCUGUUUACUUUUAACACGCUUGGGUUUACAGCACAACACUAUGUAGUGGAGAAAUGCAUACGAGUAAUUACGUCAAUUACAAUCAGCUCAAUACAAUUCUUCUGUGGUGCUACGUGAUUUAAAUGUCAUUAUGUGUCUAGAAAAGGAUGGGAAAUUGUUGUUGUUCGCUCCUGUUUGCUGCUUACAGCUGUUUUUAUGACUGGUUUUGCUCAUAAACAGGUGUUUAGAACAUUCCUUUGACUAAGUGAUACAGCUUGUGCUGCUGUGAAUUAAUUUGUCUUGCAUGUCUGGGUAGCUUGGGUUUUUUUUGUUUUCACUUCUUAAAAAAAAAGGGGGGGGGCAGCAAGCUACCUGCAACUCUGAGGUUGUUUUGAUAAGCCAUAUUUGGAAAAACUACAAGCUCACGAUGAGACAGAAUGUGUUCUUUAAGAGAAAGAUGGUUUGCUGUGAAUGUCUAUGGGCAUGGCCUCCCAGAAAAAUCUCUCAUUUCCCUCUGAUUCCUGUCCAUUCCCACUGAAUGAGAUUUCCCCUACUUGCUUUACUCUGGUUAGAAGUCCUUUGCAUGGUUCCCUGUUAUAGCUGAAGCUGAUCCAUGGUAGGCAAUGCAGGAAUGGAAACAUGCACCAAAGGUGUGUAUUCAGUUAUGUUACAUGGCUUAUUUUUUCAAAGUGAUAAUUUAAAUAACUCCAUAUGAAAUUCUUAUGAAAAUCUCAGCAGAUGGUGCUUCUGAAAAAGGUAAGGUGACUCCUUUUUUUUCCUUUCUUUUCUUUUUUUCCCCCCACUAAUGCUCAUUACUAACAACUGAAAGCAGGGACUGUGCAUCCAGUGUAAUUUAUCUGUGGACUGACAGUACGCAUAGGUGAAUGGAAGCCUCAAAAAGGCUUGUUGGGUCUUGUAAAGCUUUUAAGCCAUUUUCUGUACGUAUUUCAUAUAAGAAGUAAUGACCUCUGCUUCAGCCAUUUCUUGCUGGUUGUUCAGAGGCUAGAAAAGCAGAAGGCUUUUAACCCUGUUGGUCACUAACUGCCAUUUCAUGUAUGAUCUGGAAGCCAUAAUUUCUAUUUAAAAAAAUUAAGUGUGAAAAUGUAAGUGCAAAACAAAAACAGUCAUUGUUUUGUAUGCAUUGGAUAGUGCAUAGCUAUAGCUGUAGCUGUGGGGUGCUCUGGCUGCAGCUAAAUCAUUAGAAAAACAGGACUUUUAUUAAGAGCAAUCUUGUUAUUGUGAAAAAUAACAUAAUCAAGGGAGGAAAAUGAGUGAUAGUUACAGAUUUGCUGGGCAGCCAAGUAGCUGUUAAACCACAGACUCCAUAGAGAACAGCCCUGUUCUCCCAUACAGGGUACCUUUAAAAUGUCCUUUGUAAGCACUUUUUUUUUUUUCUUCCUAAUACGACAUCAAUUUUAAGAUAUUAUUCUUCCUUUAAAUGCAUCUUAGAGGAAGAAAUGUGCUGGUAGGAGCAUAUGCUUUGCUGAAGAAUUUCCUACUAUGCUUCAUUUCCACGAAGUCACAAAAAUAUAGAUGACUUGGUCAUCUUUUUGUUUUUCUAUUUCCAACAAGUUAUGAUAACUGAAAAUAAAUUACAGAAUGACAGAAUUGUUGAGAUUGGA